GCCUCGCCGGUGGGCGUCUCGCCGUCGCACCCGCAGCGCACUCCUGCCGAGGGAGGCCCUGCCCCCCCCCACACACAGCCCCCGGCGGCGGCCCGUCGUGACGUGCGCGUUCUGACGUCACCCUGCCGGCGCCGCCCUGACGCGUCCUCUCCCUGAUGUCACCCGGCGGCGCCGCGGAGCUGGCUGCUGUCACCUGCUGAGUGGUCAGCGUUCUCGAGUCCGUGCGAGUGCGGUUGGUUUUUUAAAGACCCGGGAACCUCCGGAGUUCCGUUCUGGGCCAGCACAUUCCUGCGAUGAAAAAUAAAAACGUUAGAAAACUUGUCCGGUUUAGCAGAACAAACCUACUCUGCUGGGACUCAAGAGUGGACAAGGAGGAUGGAAGUAACAUCUGUAUACAUCUGCUCCGUGUAAAAUGCCAACCUGUCAUCCCCAGGGAGGUGCAUGGGCCCAUGGUGCACAUGUGUGCACCUUGCACCUGCAGCAGGAGGGCCAGGCGUCAGCACCCAGGAAACACUCUCAGGGUGUGCUCAACAGGGCCACUUUGCCAGGGACCAACAAAUAAAAACCUCUAGACAAGAUCAAUUUCACAUGGGUGCUAGAUGCUCUGAGGAAGUCAACAAGACUGGCAUCCUGAACCCACCUGCCAAAGGACUUGAGAAGGCAGUUCAGUUUUUUAAAAUUAGCCCUACGACUCAUAAAAAUGAUUCUCGCAAAAGGUUCACUUCUUAAGAUGUCCAUACGCAAAAUUAUGGAAGAAAAAUACCAUGUUGAGAUGGCUGUAUUUUCUUCACAAAUAGAUAUUUCUUGUUGAUUUUUGUGGCACUUAGAAGAUGUCCCAGAUUAGAGAUAAUAGUAUCUUUUGAUUAAACAGAAGCUUUGCACUUCACUUUGAUGCACGUACUACCCUCAGAUAUGAUACUAUUAAUAGUUUUACACUCCUUCCAGCAAAGUUCAAACCAUGGUCAUUUCGCUGAUAAUCAGCCUUCAGAUAACAAACAGAUAAUAAACAGAUAUUGCUUGAUGCUUAUAUGGUAAAUAGGGUCAUACAUUUCUUGUUUUCUGUUUUGCAAGUUCGAUGGCCCAGGGCUACAAAAAAGUGCAGUGUGAAAUUGAAAAAGCAAAACUAGAGCUGAGAAUACUUCAGUCAUACUGGUGGGAAUUUGAAGUGUUAUUGAGAAAAGUAUUUACAAAUGGCUUUUUUUAAUGCAUCUCUAUAUAGUAUAGAACACUCAGCCUUGUUCUCAUAUUUUGUUCAGUUCGGAUGGUCACACACCCCUUAAAGUUAGAUAUUAGCACUGUUUAGUAAACCUUUCAUCUAGGUUUAUAGACUACAACAUUUAACCUUUCUCAUAAAAGGAGAUACUUACGUUAAUGUUAGAGGCACAAACAAGCCAGAGUCUUAGAGAACCUGGGAACCCCAAGGGUGUUGUUUAUGGGAAAGGUUUGGUCAACUCCCACACAGCACAGUUGCCACCAAUAGUCAUCUAACUAAUGUAUAAAAACUAGAAAACACAAGGAAAAAGUAAAUUACCCCAAAUCCAAUCCCCAGAAGCAAACACUUAAAGUUCUUCCAGACAUUGUCACAUAGAAAGAUAUUUCCUCCUUAAAAAAAAUUAUACUACACAUGCUCUUCUGUUGCCACUUAAAAAAGAAUUGUCCUUUCUUGUCAGUACAUAUAUCUGCAUUAUUUAAUGCAUAUGCAGUACAGGUUUUUAAUGUACCUGAAUUUAACCAACUGUUGCACAUUUGUUUCCAGUGUAACAAUUACAAUGCUGCAGUGAAGCAGUUAUCUUAAAAAUAUACAUGCAUGUGUGAUGUCCUGUAUACUAUCCCACUCUCAAAGUUAGAAAGUAUGUCCUACACCUGUCUCCCAUCACUCUGAGCACAGUGCCUAGCAUGCGGUAUAUUAGCCAAGAGGACUUAAAUCAGCAGUUCUCCACUAUGGGCAGUUUUGCCACCCUGUCCAGAUGGUGUCCAGACAGACAAAAUGUCUGGAAACAUUUUUGAUUGUCAGGACUAGAGGUGGGGCACUACUGAUAUUUUGUAUAGAGGCCAGGGAGCUGCUAAAUAUUGUACAAUAUGCAGGACAGCCCCCACAGCAUAAGCCUGUGCAAAAUGUCAACAGCACCACUAUGGAGAAACCGUGUUUAAAAUGAUGGAACAAACUACAUUCCACUGAAUUAAGACAUUGAGAUUUUCUUGCACACAACUAGGUGGCUUGCUCAAUUAGCUUUCCUCCAAAUGGGCACCUAGGGCUUCUGUCAUUCUGUGCCUUUGCUGUCUGAGAGCCAUUUGCUUUCAGAUAUUCAGACCGAAAGAAAGCUCACAAUAUCAUGCAGGAAGUUCUACGGCCUGGAAAGAGCAUCACACUUCUGCGCCCAACCACUUCCAUUAGCCAAAUCCUAGUCUUGUGACCCCCACCUAAACUGCAAGGAAGGCUGGGAAGUGUUGUCUUCUAUUUAUCUAGGAAAAGGAAAUGGGAUCUUUGGCAUCUUGCCGACUUCUGUCCCUUUUUUUUUUUUAAUUUAUUUUAAAAACUACAAAUUAAGAUUGGAGAAUGCCAACAUAACACAAAAUUGUUAGAUAAUCUCUUUAAAUACCAUGUUUGUGUAUAGCUGCUCAAUAGGUAUUUGUUGAAUCAUAAUUUUUAUUUUUAAAAGAUUUUAUUUGUUUGAGAGAGGGAGAGAGAAUAUGAGGCAGACUCCGCACUGGGCACAGACCCUGACGCGGGGCUCAAUGCACAGCCAUGAGAUCGUGACCUGAGCUGAAACCAAGCCUAACCAACUGAGCCACUUGUGCCCCAAUAGUGUGUUUUGUUUUUGUUUUUGUUUUUUUUAAGCAAUCAGGUAUUUAUUGAGGGCCUGCAAUGGACCUGCUGGUUAUCUUACAUCAUCUUCCCACCCUCAGAUCUACACUCCAUCCUUCACCUUGUUCUCUGUCCCAGGACCCUGACCUGACUGGGUUGUAUAGUCUCCCUCAUACACUGGCUUCCAGGUGAAUUUGCUGAAGAGGGAAGCCCAGCGGAGGUUGAGAUUAGGCUGUUUAUUUCCCACAUUCCACAUCAAGUUGGCUUGAGCUGGCAAAGUAACUAACCUGUCCUGCACAACCUUCUCCAACCGGGGUCUUGCCAGCUUGCCUUCCUCUCUUUCUUCUCUUUGGACCUAGGCUCCUCCAUUAUCCACACAUCCUGCCUACACCUUUGUGAGUAGUACAUUUAAAAACCAACUCGCUCAGAUGACCCUGAUUUGAGCGUGCUGCUUCAGUUGCAACCCUAGCUGGUAUUAUAGACAUGAAAACCCGAUGGGAACAGUGGGAAACGUUUUCUUUCAAAUACGAUACUAUGUCUGCCCUAAAAAAAAAAAAACACUUACAGGUAUCUAGGAUACCCAAGCCAGGCAUGAGUGGAA
Long non-coding RNA from Canis lupus familiaris (dog), 3407 nucleotides. RefSeq lists it as uncharacterized. The transcript has 3 exons. Lineage: Eukaryota; Metazoa; Chordata; Mammalia; Carnivora; Canidae. The record is from RefSeq and is a predicted model, not a curated record.